This 253-nucleotide ribosomal RNA is filed under the name uncultured bacterium. RNAcentral's name for it is "partial 16S ribosomal RNA". It matches the Rfam family "Bacterial small subunit ribosomal RNA", at positions 524 to 776 of the family's 1533-position model. The record is from RNAcentral.
UACGAGGGGGGCAAAUGUUGUUCGGAAUCACUGGGCGUAAAGCGCACGUAGGCGGACCUUCAAGUCAGGGGUGAAAUCCCGGGGCUCAACCUCGGAACUGCCUUUGAUACUGUUGGUCUUGAAUCCGGUAGAGGUGGGUGGAAUUCCUAGUGUAGAGGUGAAAUUCGUAGAUAUUAGGAAGAACACCGGUGGCGAAGGCGGCCCACUGGACCGGUAUUGACGCUGAGGUGCGAAAGCGUGGGGAGCAAACAGG